GGACGUAUAGCUCAGAUGGUAGAGCUGUCGGCUCAUAACCGAUUGGUCACAGGUUCAAUUCCAUCAACAUCCACCA
Molecule: transfer RNA, 76 nt
Filed under: Clostridium sp.
Lineage: Bacteria; Bacillati; Bacillota; Clostridia; Eubacteriales; Clostridiaceae
Description: tRNA-Met
Rfam family: tRNA
About the family: Transfer RNA (tRNA) molecules are approximately 80 nucleotides in length.
Source: RNAcentral